GGCUACCAUGCAAGUCGAACGCGAACGAUUUUCUUCGGAGAAUUUAGUAGAGUGGCGCACGCCCUGUAGUAACGCGUAAGUAAUCUACCCUGGCAUUUGGGAUAACCCAGCGAAAGCUGUGCUAAUACCGAAUACGCUGAUUUAUCAGGAAAGGUGGCCUCUGAUUUAAGCUACCGUGCCGGGAGGAGCUUGCGUACCAUUAGCUAGUUGGUAGGGUAAAGGCCUACCAAGGCGACGAUGGUUAGCGGGUCUGAGAGGAUGAUCCGCCACACUGGAACUGGAACACGGACCAGACUCCUACGGGAGGCAGCAGUGAGGAAUAUUGCGCAAUGGGGGCAACCCUGACGCAGCGACGCCGCGUGGAUGAUGAAGGCUUUCGAGUCGUAAAAUCCUGUCAGAUGGAAAGAAGUGCAUAUUUAUUAAUAGUGAAUAUGUUUGACGGUACCAUCAAAGGAAGCACCGGCUAACUCCGUGCCAGCAGCCGCGGUAAUACGGAGGGUGCAAGCGUUGUUCGGAAUUACUGGGCGUAAAGCGCGCGUAGGCGGUCUGUUAUGUCAGAUGUGAAAGUCCUCGGCUCAACCGGGGAAGUGCAUUUGAAACUGGCAGACUUGAGUACUGGAGGGGGUGGUGGAAUUCCCGGUGUAGAGGUGAAAUUCGUAGAUAUCGGGAGGAAUACCGGUGGCGAAGGCGACCACCUGGCCAGAUACUGACGCUGAGGUGCGAAAGCGUGGGGAGCAAACAGGAUUAGAUACCCUGGUAGUCCACGCCGUAAACGAUGUCAACUAGGUGUUGGGGCGGUUAAUCGUCUCAUUGCCGGAGCUAACGCAUUAAGUUGACCGCCCUGGGGAAGUACGGUCGCAAAGAUUAAAACUCAAAGGGAAUUGACGGGGGGCCCGCACAAGCGGGGGGAA
This 911-nucleotide ribosomal RNA is filed under the name uncultured delta proteobacterium. RNAcentral's name for it is "bacterial SSU rRNA". It matches the Rfam family "Bacterial small subunit ribosomal RNA", at positions 47 to 938 of the family's 1533-position model. The record is from RNAcentral. Lineage: Bacteria; Deltaproteobacteria.